Molecule: non-coding RNA, 125 nt
Organism: Brachypodium distachyon (stiff brome)
Lineage: Eukaryota; Viridiplantae; Streptophyta; Magnoliopsida; Poales; Poaceae
Source: Rfam
CAUGUACUCCCUCCAUCCCAUAUUAGUUGUCGAAAUAUUACAUGUAUCUAGACGCUUUUUAGACAUAGAUACAUCCAUAUUUGGACAAAUUUGAGACAACUAAUAUGGGACGGAGGGAGUAUAAU